This 274-nucleotide ribosomal RNA is filed under the name uncultured bacterium. RNAcentral describes it as "partial 16S ribosomal RNA". It matches the Rfam family "Bacterial small subunit ribosomal RNA", at positions 523 to 796 of the family's 1533-position model. The record is from RNAcentral.
ACACGGAGGGCGCAAGCGUUGCUCGGAAUCACUGGGCGUAAACCGGGUGUAGGCGGUCUAGCAAGUCAGAUGUGAAAGCCCACGGCUCAACCGUGGAAGUGCAUCUGAAACUGCUAGACUUGAGUGCCGGAGAGGGAAGUGGAAUUCCUGGUGUAGGGGUGAAAUCCGUAGAUAUCAGGAGGAACACCGGUGGCGAAGGCGACUUCCUGGACGGCCACUGACGCUGAGACCCGAAAGCGUGGGGAGCAAACAGGAUUAGAAACCCCAGUAGUCC